UCAGGAUGAACGCUGGCGGAGUGGCCUAAACACAUGCAAGUCGAGCGGGCAGCGACGAGUAGUUUACUACUUGGCGGCGAGCGGCGGACGGCUGAGUAACGCGUGGGAACAUGCCCAAAGUGAGGAAUAACUGCCCGAAAGGGUAGCUAAUGCCGCAUACGAUCUUCGGAUUAAAGGAUUUAUCCGCUUUGGGAGUGGCCUGCGUACGAUUAGAUAGUUGGUGAGGUAAUGGCUCACCAAGUCUACGAUCGUUAACUGGUUUGAGAGGAUGAUCAGUCAGACUGGAACUGAGACACGGUCCAGACUCCUACGGGAGGCAGCAGUGAGGAAUCUUCCACAAUGGACGAAAGUCUGAUGGAGCAACUCCGCGUGCAGGAUGAAGGCCUUCGGGUCGUAAACUGCUUUUAUGAGUGAAGAAUAUGACGGUAACUCAUGAAUAAGGGUCGGCUAACUACGUG
RNAcentral lists this ribosomal RNA (458 nucleotides) under uncultured bacterium. RNAcentral describes it as "bacterial SSU rRNA". It matches the Rfam family "Bacterial small subunit ribosomal RNA", at positions 24 to 507 of the family's 1533-position model. The record is from RNAcentral.